UGCGGAGGAUCAUUACCGAAUUGUCAACACGAGUUGUUGCUGGUCCUCAAACGGGGGCAUGUGCACGCUCUGUUUGCACAUCCACUCACACCUGUGCACCCUCCGUANUUCUGCANCAUGGGGGUUCUGUCCCCUUUGCCGUGGUUCUAUGUAUUUACACACACACACUGUG
This 172-nucleotide unclassified non-coding RNA is filed under the name uncultured fungus. RNAcentral's name for it is "sequence contains ITS1". The record is from RNAcentral. Lineage: Eukaryota; Fungi.